RNAcentral lists this long non-coding RNA (504 nucleotides) under Rattus norvegicus (Norway rat). RNAcentral describes it as "long non-coding RNA NONRATT000326". Lineage: Eukaryota; Metazoa; Chordata; Mammalia; Rodentia; Muridae. The record is from RNAcentral.
GGAACCUGAAGUAGUGUCUGUUGCUCGAGUAUGUGAUGUCAUGUGGUCGUGCUGCCAACGAUGGUGGAGUUCAGGCAUGUGGGGUUCGGUGACAUCUCUUCCAACCCAAAAAGCUAUGUAUAUCGAAAACCAAAAAUGAUGAAGCCACCAACUCACCAUUCAGGACUUGGAGGCUCAGCAGACCUAAGUCUCCAUUUCUCUGCCUUGUAUUCCCAUUUUUCCCUUGCACAACGUGGAUCUUUCUGGACUUACUACACUCCAAGAGCAAAGGAGGUGGAGAUGUACACUCUGACCCAAGCCAGUCAACCAACCAGGUAUUUCUGCACUUGUGGACAUAGACAGAAACCCAGUCCCUGCUAUAGAGGAACACACAGAUAACUUCAGAGCAAUAAAAGACAGGGUAGAAGACUCACCAAGAGGGACACUCUGAACCCCCUUAGAUCUGCUGGGCUCCUCAGAGUCCCUUCUCUAUCCAAUAAACUGUAACAUCUGCCAUUAAACUUU